Long non-coding RNA from Ctenopharyngodon idella (grass carp), 1422 nucleotides. RefSeq lists it as uncharacterized. NCBI's taxonomy places the organism in Eukaryota, Metazoa, Chordata, Actinopteri, Cypriniformes, Xenocyprididae. The record is from RefSeq and is a predicted model, not a curated record. The transcript is spliced from 4 exons.
UGAAUCACCCCUCCUACAAGAGGCGGUGGACUUUAACUUUACAGAGAAAGCGCCUUUUAAUAAACAAUUGUAACCAGAGAUGCAGCAUGAAGCUGUCCUUGACGGCUAAUUCUGAGAGUAACACGUACCGAUGAUGCUGUUCAUCUAUCUGUUGGUACUGUUAAUAGAUACAGCUUCUCUGCAUCAGGUAGUUGAAGGUGUUGAAGGAGGCUCUGUCGUUUUGCUGUGCAGCAACAGAAGCACUGUACUUGAAGAAAAACAACUGACAGUUCACUGGAGACACAACGACACCAGGAAUGUAUAUGAUAUUAGCCAAGGACAAGUUUCUGUAAUGACACAAGACCCAGCGUACAAGAACAGAGCUGAAGUUUUAUCUGAAGAGCUCAAGAAGGGCCAGAUCUUUCUCAAACUCACCGAUCUUCAGCUCUCCGAUAGAGGAACGUAUCUCUGUUUUGUUCCAGCUGUGAGACUUUAUCACAGUACUCAACUGGUGGUCAAAGAAAGAUCAUUCAUAAAAUGCACAACUGCUCAAAUAAGAAGCCAUAGUAUAGAAACAAGGCUGGGAAGGACUCUGCACCACCUAAUUCUCAUAGUUUCAUCUGGAUUCAUCCUGCACUUUAUUUAGAUAGAUGCACUGAUAUACAAUUUCUAGCUGAUACAGAUUAAUAUAAUUUUUUAUAUUUUACAUGAAACCUGAUGUGUUGAUAUAAUCUAUGGAGUUCAUUUAAAAACUGUUUUCUGUUGUUUUCUUGUAUAAUGUGCCACACUAAUCUUUCUCACAUGCACACUGCGAAUGAAUAGCCACUGAAAUGAGAACUGAAAAUUAUUUAUAACAUUUACUUAAGUAUUUCUUAAUGAAACAAUUUAUAUGAAAGCUGUAAUGAAGGUUGGUUCAGCCUAUGAGGUUCUGAUGUAGGUUAUAUAAAAUAAUGUGUAGCCAAAUUAAUGGGUGACGGAAAUUAACCCUUCAUUUCAUAUUCAUUUUAACUUCUUUUAGCUCAUUGAAAACGCGCUGCCUUUGGCCAAUUCUAACCUCAGAAACUGAGUGUAAUAUUCAAUAGACCACAAAUAAAAAGAAGUCGUAUGGGAUUGAUGGUGCUGGCGUCUUUAUUCCACGUGGAGCGCCAUCACACACACACACACACACACACACACACACACGUUUGUUUUUGUGAAUUUUGGGGACAUUCCAUAGGCGUAAUGGUUUUUAUAGUCUACUGUACAAACCGUAUUUUCUAUCCCCCUACCCUUAAACCCAUCACAGAAAACUGUGCACAUUUUUGUAUGGAGCCGUUUAAGAACACAUGUCGACUCCUCCUAUGAGAGGCGGAGAUUGCCGCGAUUAUUUGAAUCUCAGUGUAUUUUCAAACGGAGCGCUGUUUCUGAAUCUGACAGUAAACCCUCACAUCAGUACAACAUGUA